GAUGAACGCUGGCGGCGUGCCUAAUACAUGCAAGUCGAGCGAACCACUUCGGUGGGAAGCGGCGAACGGGUGAGUAACACGUAGGUGAUCUGCUCAUCAGACGGGGACAACGAUUGGAAACGAUCGCUAAUACCGGAUAGGACGAAAGUUUAAAGAUGCUUCUGGCAUCACUGAUGGAUGAGCCUGCGGCGCAUUAGCUAGUUGGUGGGGUAAAGGCCUACCAAGGCGACGAUGCGUAGCCGACCUGAGAGGGUGAACGGCCACACUGGGACUGAGACACGGCCCAA
This 287-nucleotide ribosomal RNA is filed under the name uncultured bacterium. RNAcentral describes it as "partial 16S ribosomal RNA". It matches the Rfam family "Bacterial small subunit ribosomal RNA", at positions 28 to 334 of the family's 1533-position model. The record is from RNAcentral.